UACGUAGGGUGCGAGCGUUAAUCGGAAUUACUGGGCGUAAAGCGUGCGCAGGCGGUUUUGUAAGUCUGUCGUGAAAGCCCCGGGCUCAACCUGGGAAUUGCGAUGGAGACUGCAAGGCUUGAAUCUGGCAGAGGGGGGUAGAAUUCCACGUGUAGCAGUGAAAUGCGUAGAGAUGUGGAGGAACACCGAUGGCGAAGGCAGCCCCCUGGGUCAAGAUUGACGCUCAGGCACGAAAGCGUGGGGAGCAAACAGG
This 253-nucleotide ribosomal RNA is filed under the name uncultured bacterium. RNAcentral describes it as "partial 16S ribosomal RNA". It matches the Rfam family "Bacterial small subunit ribosomal RNA", at positions 524 to 776 of the family's 1533-position model. The record is from RNAcentral.